RNAcentral lists this transfer RNA (66 nucleotides) under Chilecicada sp. PL492. RNAcentral describes it as "tRNA-Ser". Lineage: Eukaryota; Metazoa; Arthropoda; Insecta; Hemiptera; Cicadidae. The record is from RNAcentral.
GGGGAAAUAAGGCUUAAGAUGGCCGCUAACUAAUCUUAAAAACGGUUAAAUUCCGUUUUUUCCUUC